This 502-nucleotide ribosomal RNA is filed under the name Clostridioides difficile. RNAcentral's name for it is "bacterial LSU rRNA". It matches the Rfam family "Bacterial large subunit ribosomal RNA", at positions 1084 to 1589 of the family's 2925-position model. Lineage: Bacteria; Bacillati; Bacillota; Clostridia; Peptostreptococcales; Peptostreptococcaceae. The record is from RNAcentral.
CACAGACAACCAGGAUGUUGGCUUAGAAGCAGCCACUCAUUCAAAGAGUGCGUAAUAGCUCACUGGUCGAGUGAUCUUGCGCCGAAGAUUUCCGGGGCUAAAACUUACUACCGAAGCUACGGCAUCAGUAAUGAUGGGUAGGGGCGCUUCCCAUACGGGUUGAAGCAUGACCGUAAGUACAUGUGGACAGUAUGGGAGUGAGAAUGUUGGCAUGAGUAGCGAGAUGUGGGUGAGAAUCCCACAGGCCGUAAACCCAAGGUUUCCAGGGGAAGGUUCGUCCGCCCUGGGUUAGGCGGGACCUAAGCUGAGGCCGAAAGGCGUAGGUGAUGGACAACAGGUUGAUAUUCCUGUACUACCGAUAACUGUUUGAGAGAAGGGAUGACACAGUAGGAUAAGCUAAGCACACUGUUGGUUAUGUGUGCCCAAGCAUUGAGGCAGUCAAAGUAGGCAAAUCCGCUUUGAUAAUGCUGGGAUGUGAUGGGGAGCGAAAUUUAGUAGCGAA